Long non-coding RNA from Prosopis cineraria, 817 nucleotides. RefSeq lists it as uncharacterized. The record is from RefSeq and is a predicted model, not a curated record. The transcript has 2 exons. Lineage: Eukaryota; Viridiplantae; Streptophyta; Magnoliopsida; Fabales; Fabaceae.
CGCCAUGACCAUCAAUUCUCCUUCUCUUCGACGACAAUGGCUGCUCUGUUCAUCAUCUCAUCCUCCCAUUCCCCCUUCUUUUCCUACAACAGCUAGCGUCUCCUUUUCGAAAUCCAUUCUGCGAAUCAUCAAGCUUCUUCUUCGACUUACUCUAUACCAACUCUGAUUUUAAAAUGUUCGAAGGGCUUCUAUCGAUGGCAGCAUGAGAAGGAUUCUGUCAGUGGUGGUUAGACAGAUAGGCUGCUUUCUUGGAAAUCUUCAGUUAUAAGAGCAAACAAAAGGAGAAGAUGCGUUGGUUUCUUGGACGCGAUGUGGAGGAAGCUUCCUACAGUCACCAUUUUCGGAGUUGAAGCUUGAGAGUGAGGUUUUGAGGAUUCAAAAGGGCCAAGAAAGGAAGUACAAGAAGAGUAGUCUUGCUUAUUAUAGUUGUUCUGUUACUCGGGAUAUGAAUGUAUAUUUGUUAAUAGUGUUGAAAGUUGCCAAUUAGAAUGCAUAUAUGGAUAUGCAUUCCUUUAGAGACUUGCUCGUACUAUCUUUUGUUACAUCUUCGCCCUUUUUAUAGUGUAUGUUUUAGAAUGGAUAGGUUUAAAUGUUAUUUCAAGUAAGUGUGUAAUUUUAUUAUUUUGAUGGAAAGUGCUUCUUGAUAUAUGUUGAGCUGUGGUUUCUAGCUUGUGGUGCCUAAGUUAUAAGUACCUAUGUAAAGUUGGAAGUAUUUGUUGAUAGGCAAGGUUCGAUCUUGGUAAAGGUCAUGACUUGUCUUACUAAAGAAAUGUAUUUACUAAAGAAAUGUAUGUACUUAUGUGAUUUGUGUGGGUUA